Molecule: transfer RNA, 73 nt
Filed under: Candidatus Aenigmatarchaeota archaeon
Lineage: Archaea; Nanobdellati; Candidatus Aenigmatarchaeota
Description: tRNA-Asp
Rfam family: tRNA
About the family: Transfer RNA (tRNA) molecules are approximately 80 nucleotides in length. Their secondary structure includes four short double-helical elements and three loops (D, anti-codon, and T loops).
Source: RNAcentral
GCUCAGAUCGUCUAGUGGUCUAGGAUGCAACCCUGUCACGGUUGAGACUCGGGUUCAAAUCCCGAUCUGGGCG